GUCCGUGUGGCGCAAUGGUUAGCGCUUCUCACUUCUAUGAAUAGUCGUCACAUGAGAGGGCUGCGGGUUCGAAUCCCGCCAUGGAUU
Molecule: non-coding RNA, 87 nt
Organism: Filobasidium floriforme
Lineage: Eukaryota; Fungi; Basidiomycota; Tremellomycetes; Filobasidiales; Filobasidiaceae
Source: the annotation of a RefSeq genome assembly